CCAGGCUCUUCCGGGGGAGAGUCCAGCUGCUUCCAGGCCUCCUCAUUUAUCGGUGACCUCUGCUGGUGCGGAAUUGAAAGCCAUGCGGGUGCACCCACACGCACUGGUUUCACCACUCUUGGUCCUUUCCUAAGAGCACUUGAAAAUGAACAAAUCCCAGGUAAGUUGCUUAGGAAUUUACUUCCCACAUUUUUAACAGUGGAUUUCAAGAGAUUAUUAGGGGUUUAUACAUCGAGAUGAAAUAGUAGAACUAUAUAUAUAUAUCUAUAUAUAAUUCUGCAUUAGAGA
Molecule: long non-coding RNA, 288 nt
Filed under: Dasypus novemcinctus (nine-banded armadillo)
Lineage: Eukaryota; Metazoa; Chordata; Mammalia; Cingulata; Dasypodidae
Description: lncRNA (ENSDNOG00000052614.1)
Source: RNAcentral